RNAcentral lists this transfer RNA (72 nucleotides) under Gracula religiosa (hill myna). RNAcentral's name for it is "tRNA-Glu". Lineage: Eukaryota; Metazoa; Chordata; Aves; Passeriformes; Sturnidae. The record is from RNAcentral. RNAcentral also lists the same sequence under 2 other names.
GUUCUUGUAGUUAAAAUCGAAUAACGGCGGCUUUUCAGGUCGCAGAUCCCGGAGGAAGGCCGGGCGGGAAUU